GUCCUUCCCCAGUCUCUGCCCCACCUGCCUUCUCGGCAGGGCUGUCUGCACGGCUCUGCCCGGGCUUCAGGCUCCAGGCUUCUGUCAAGGGGGUGGAGGACUCCUGACUGCAGGAUAGACACAGGCAGCUAUGGGCAGCUCACUGGAGUUAGGUGGUGUGUGCCAUUCCCCCUGCCAGGAGCUCACCGGCCUCACCCAAGCUCGCAGCAUUGUGCCGGGAAAGGAUGUUCUCGGCUCCGGCCUUUUUCCUCCUCUCCUGGGGACAGAACAUGGAUCCUGGAAGGCAUUGAGGACCCUGUGCUCAGCCCCUGCCCAUCCCUUCCACCACUUAUCUGUCCUGUAGGCACACUGACGCGGCUUUCACAAAAUGGGAGGCUCUGAGAGGGAACAUCUCCCUGGAUCCCCUCUCUUCCAAUGGACCUGUGCUAUGGUCUGAAAGUUUGUGUCUCCUGGAAAUUCAUAUGUUGAGAACUAACCCCAAGGCAAUGAGGCCCCAGAGGCUGCCUUGUCCUUUCCACCUCAUGGGACACAGCAAGAAGGAGCCGUCUGUGAACCAGGAAGCAGGCCCUCACCAAACCUGCUGCCAUCUUGAUUUUGGACUUCCAGCUUCCAGAGCUGUAAUAAAGAAACUUCUGUUGUUUAUAA
This 645-nucleotide long non-coding RNA is filed under the name Homo sapiens (human). RNAcentral's name for it is "HSALNT0038968". Lineage: Eukaryota; Metazoa; Chordata; Mammalia; Primates; Hominidae. The record is from RNAcentral.